Molecule: ribosomal RNA, 445 nt
Filed under: Lachnoanaerobaculum saburreum
Lineage: Bacteria; Bacillati; Bacillota; Clostridia; Lachnospirales; Lachnospiraceae
Description: bacterial SSU rRNA
Rfam family: Bacterial small subunit ribosomal RNA
Source: RNAcentral
GAUGAACGCUGGUCGUGCUUAACACAUGCAAGUCGAACGAAGCUGUUAAAAGGAAGUCUUCGGAUGGAAUUUUAACAGACUUAGUGGCGGACGGGUGAGUAACGCGUGGAUAACCUGCCUUAUACAGGGGGAUAACGGAGAGAAAUUUCCGCUAAGACCGCAUAAGACCACAGCACCGCAUGGUGCAGGGGUAAAAUAUUAAUAGGUAUAAGAUGGAUCCGCGUCCGAUUAGCUGGUUGGUGAGGUAGAGGCUCACCAAGGCGACGAUCGGUAGCCGGCCUGAGAGGGUGAACGGCCACAUUGGGACUGAGACACGGCCCAAACUCCUACGGGAGGCAGCAGUGGGGAAUAUUGGACAAUGGGGGAAACCCUGAUCCAGCGACGCCGCGUGAGUGAAGAAGUAUUUCGGUAUGUAAAGCUCUAUCAGCAGGGAAGAAAAUGACGG